This is a long non-coding RNA of Gossypium arboreum, 901 nucleotides long. RefSeq lists it as uncharacterized. NCBI's taxonomy places the organism in Eukaryota, Viridiplantae, Streptophyta, Magnoliopsida, Malvales, Malvaceae. The transcript has 3 exons. The record is from RefSeq and is a predicted model, not a curated record.
GGGCAUAAAGCCCAAAAUCGUACUGUUUUAGUACCAGUAUUUAAACCAAAUUUUAGUUUUUUAUUUUUUUUUUUCAACACUUCUAAAAAAAACAAGGAAAGAAAACUCCCAAACUCCCUCAAACUCUUGACUUUUGGCCAAGGAGCCGCCGAUGAGCCUCCGCCGUGGCUCCGCUGUAGGUGGUGGUCGGAGGCGCACAAAUCUCGGCCUUUUCAACCCUUUUCGAAGCUGAUCGCCUAUAGAACGUGGAUUUGAGACCAGAAUCCCCGAAAGACGGACCAAACUCGGUGAAGAGCAAGGAGAAACAUUUCGUUUCCCUCCCUCUCCGGCGUAGUGCAGUAUACCAUCGGCUUCCUUUUUUAGCCGAAUAAAGGUUCGACUGACUCGGAUAUGGCCGUACAGAGAUGCACGUGGUGGCGCGCGUGGAGAUUUUUAAAUUUUUUAAAAAUUUUAAAUCAGUAAAAGUAUAAUUACAAUUUGGCCCCUCUAAAAUUAUAAAAAUUUAAUUUAAUCCUUUAUAAAUAAUAAAGAUAUAGACUAUAAAAAAUUAAAAUUUCAUUCGGCCCCCCAAAAUAUUGUUCUGACUUCGCCUCUGGUAUGAAGCAUGUAAGUCUUUUGUUAAGUUUUACGUUGACUUUGGAAAAUGAUGUUUUUGCAUCAAAUUCACAUUUAAAGCGUUGUUAAGUUGAUGUAUUUGUUGCCGGUUGAAUUUUAGUUCGAUUGACAUCGAUAUUAUUAUCAGUGCAGGAGAGUGUAGGUUCGAAUAUGCUGAAGCACAUUAUCUUCUUAUUUGAGGGUUGGAGUGAAGCUUUAGGUAGUUCUAAUCAUUGUAUUAAAAAGAACAAAUAUGUUAAUAAUCUAUAAUUAGAUUAAUGUUGAAAAAAAAAGUUUUACGUCUUUA